AGAGUUUGAUCCUGGCUCAGAUUGAACGCUGGCGGCAUGCCUUACACAUGCAAGUCGAGCGCGAAAGGGGGCAACCCCGAGUAGAGCGGCGGACGGGUGAGUAACGCAUCGGAACGUGCCCAGUAGUGGGGGACAACCUCGAGAAAUCGAGGCUAAUACCGCAUACGACCCACGGGUGAAAGCGGGGGACCGCAAGGCCUCGCGCUAUUGGAGCGGCCGAUGUCCGAUUAGCUAGUUGGCGGGGUAAGAGCCCACCAAGGCGACGAUCGGUAGCUGGUCUGAGAGGACGACCAGCCACACUGGGACUGAGACACGGCCCAGACUCCUACGGGAGGCAGCAGUGGGGAAUUUUGGACAAUGGGGGCAACCCUGAUCCAGCCAUGCCGCGUGCGGGAAGAAGGCCUUCGGGUUGUAAACCGCUUUCGGCCGGAACGAAAUCGCACCCGUGAAUAUCGGGUGUGGAUGACGGUACCGAAGAAGAGAC
RNAcentral lists this ribosomal RNA (484 nucleotides) under uncultured Caldimonas sp. Its description in RNAcentral is "bacterial SSU rRNA". It matches the Rfam family "Bacterial small subunit ribosomal RNA", at positions 8 to 494 of the family's 1533-position model. The record is from RNAcentral. Lineage: Bacteria; Pseudomonadati; Pseudomonadota; Betaproteobacteria; Burkholderiales; Sphaerotilaceae.